This 377-nucleotide ribosomal RNA is filed under the name uncultured Citrobacter sp. Its description in RNAcentral is "SSU rRNA". It matches the Rfam family "Bacterial small subunit ribosomal RNA", at positions 959 to 1336 of the family's 1533-position model. The record is from RNAcentral. Lineage: Bacteria; Pseudomonadati; Pseudomonadota; Gammaproteobacteria; Enterobacterales; Enterobacteriaceae.
ACGCGAAGAACCUUACCUACUCUUGACAUCCAGAGAACUUAGCAGAGAUGCUUUGGUGCCUUCGGGAACUCUGAGACAGGUGCUGCAUGGCUGUCGUCAGCUCGUGUUGUGAAAUGUUGGGUUAAGUCCCGCAACGAGCGCAACCCUUAUCCUUUGUUGCCAGCGGUUCGGCCGGGAACUCAAAGGAGACUGCCAGUGAUAAACUGGAGGAAGGUGGGGAUGACGUCAAGUCAUCAUGGCCCUUACGAGUAGGGCUACACACGUGCUACAAUGGCAUAUACAAAGAGAAGCGACCUCGCGAGAGCAAGCGGACCUCAUAAAGUAUGUCGUAGUCCGGAUUGGAGUCUGCAACUCGACUCCAUGAAGUCGGAAUCGCU